UACGAAGGGGGCUAGCGUUGUUCGGAAUUACUGGGCGUAAAGGGCGCGUAGGCGGCUUUUCAAGUGACGGGUGAAAUCCCUCGGCUUAACCGAGGAACUGCCUGUCAGACUGGAAGGCUUGAGACCGGGAGAGGUGAGUGGAAUUCCCAGUGUAGCGGUGAAAUGCGUAGAUAUUGGGAGGAACACCAGUGGCGAAGGCGGCUCACUGGACCGGAACUGACGCUGAGGCGCGAAAGCGUGGGGAGCAAACAGG
This 253-nucleotide ribosomal RNA is filed under the name uncultured bacterium. Its description in RNAcentral is "partial 16S ribosomal RNA". It matches the Rfam family "Bacterial small subunit ribosomal RNA", at positions 524 to 776 of the family's 1533-position model. The record is from RNAcentral.